UGUUGAUGGGCAAGUAGCAAUAAGGAUGAAAUUUCUGUUAAUAUAUCUAAAGUAAAACCAAGAAGACAAUAUAACCUGUGUCUUCUCAGUUCUUACUGCUCUGUGUCGAAGACUACAGCAGAAAGACCUGUCUGGAAAAUCAUAAGUUCUCAUCGAUAACAAUUCUUUUUUUAUUAUUAUUAUUUUUCAGUUUAGCUAAUGAUGUGCUUAUCUAGUGCAGAACUAUCAGCUAAAACUGGAAGCCUGUGGGGAAGCCCUUCCCAACCAAAUGUUUUUAUGUGUAGUGUUUGGGAUCUUCCUGCACAUGCAGAACACUACAAGCCCUUUGGAAGGAACUGCUGUAUCUUGCUGAAUCUGUCACUGCAUCUGUCAUUGCAAGUGACCCAUAUUUAAAAGGAUUGCAAGUGUCUUUCAGUCACAGAAGAUGGGUCAUCUUGCCCUCAGGCUGAUGCACAGGAAUGACUGGAAGUACCUGGAGAGAGUAAAGACAGCACAACAGAGAGAAAGCAGUUUCAUUAAACAAAAUGAAGGCCAAGGACUUAGACUUUUCCUAGGACUGCAAAGUAAAGGGUAAAAAUACAGAGUGGAAUAAUGAAAACAGAACAGGGUGACACCAGAAGAACAGCAGAAGCUCCAGCACAGGCUGUUACAAGAUAAGAGUCACCAAAAAGAAUACGAGAACACCUGCAAACAUACAGCUGUCAUACCAUCUAUUCUUUAUGGACAAGAAGGUUUAAUUAGCAAUCCGAAGCCUUCCCAAAAGGAGAGAUGAAUUUUGCUUCCUCAUACUUCCCUACAGAGCCAUACACAAAGUAUCAUGUGAUUCCUUCUUCCAAAGUCUCCUGGUGUUGACUUGUGUGUUGAGAGAAGGACUUGUAGUAAUACGUUUAAGUUUUGAGGGCUAUGUACCCAACACCUGAAACCUCCCAUCAUUCCUUCAAAUUGCAAAACUACAUUUUUUGAUCUAAUCAGUAAAGAAAGAAAAUACUUCAUAUCCUGGGGAGUUUUGUUUUUGAAGCAUGCAGAACUAACCAAAACACACUUCUUUUUUUAUUGUUAGGUUUGCCACUAUUGCAGAGGAUAGUUGCAAAGAAAACCUUAAUUUUACCAAGAAGACAUAAAGAUAAGAAGCAAAAGCUCUUCGUGUAUGAUUCUGAACAUAUAGUCCAGUGCUUUCAACAAUAAAGGAAAGUACUGCACAUUAAAUAGGUUCA
Molecule: long non-coding RNA, 1214 nt
Filed under: Anas platyrhynchos platyrhynchos (common mallard)
Lineage: Eukaryota; Metazoa; Chordata; Aves; Anseriformes; Anatidae
Description: lncRNA (ENSAPLG00000024998.1)
Source: RNAcentral